Molecule: long non-coding RNA, 1054 nt
Organism: Epinephelus fuscoguttatus (brown-marbled grouper)
Lineage: Eukaryota; Metazoa; Chordata; Actinopteri; Perciformes; Serranidae
Exons: 3
Source: RefSeq, a predicted model, not a curated record
AGUAGUUUCUCCGGAUGAAAACUUGACUCAAUGGCGAAUACUCCUGCAGGCAAAAUUGCUAUCCCAGCCCUGGCGACAACUGCUUACACUGCCAAACAACCCAAAAAGAGAAAGGCGGACCUGUCUAAAAGACAGUCAAAGAGAGAGUCCGACAAUAAACGAAAUAAAACUCGAGUUAAUCUCGGAGAAGCGUUUCAGAGGUGGAGAGAACUUCGCGACAGGAUGGGCUUCAAACUGGAUUCACAGCUCGCAGUUUUCCUCAUCGACUGUUAUGAGAAGACGAGGCUAAAAUCUACACCACAGAAGGUUGGAUACGUUGCCAGACUGCCAGACCCAGCAGCAUCUAUCAUUCUGGCUGAAUCUCUCUGAUGGGUUGGCCACACACUGGUGUUACUGUUCCCUCGCUGCACUUUCAAGGCACUGACUUGAAAAUAAGGGCCUGGAUGGACCUUUUGAACCCUUGAGUCAUCCAGCUGGAGACAGUGUUUCUGUUGGCAGUGACCGCAGCAGGGAGGGUGAGGACCCGCUCCAUGCACGAGAGUGUCUGCAGAGUCACGACAGACAAUGGAGGAACAGUCUGAACCCUGUUCUUGUCCCUGCUGAGGUACUUCACAAACUUCUCCUGGAAGCUGUGAACAAAGGAGUGGGUCUGGUCAUUGAUUUAUCACGGCAGAGAUAUAACAGAUGUUUUAAGUCUACCUGUCCUCACAGGAACACAGAACAAUUUGUUUUAAGAUAUUAUUCACUCUCUUUCUGAGACUAAAAUAGGUAAAUAGGUUAACUAGGCUCUGGAGGUGGAUUAGCAAUUAGCCAAGGCUAGCAAUCACUCUAGCUUGGCAUAAAGACAGGAAGUAGAGGAAAACUAGUUCUGUAAAUGUGGCUGUAACACCUUGCAGAUUUGCAAACACAAACAGAAAGGUAGAAAGAGCAGGUGCUGUAACCACUUCUCAGCAAACAGCCACAGAUUAUGUCAUCAUUGUGAGUUUGCCAGGAAACUCGUGUUAUUUCCAGCAGGUAUGCUAACUCCAUCACAACUCUUUUUUUUUUUUUUUUU